UGGUUGAUAUUUUUUGAGACUACCUGGUUCCAAGGGGGAAGGCAAAAGAGGGACACCACUUCCGGUAUGGCCUCCACCCAUCGCCCACCCAGUGCCUCUCAAACGGACCUUCUGCUCCACUCACAGAAUCCUGGUGCCUGCUGGCGCCAUGCUGAGGAGAAGUUACAUUGGAGGCUUGGUGAGAGUGCAUAGAGACAGGAUCAGCCUAUUCAGCCUGAGGCAGAGGAGCAAUUUGCAAUCCCCAACAAGGCAAAACUUUACUCCUUCAAAUGUUCUUUCUGAAUUAUCUACAUUUGAAUCAGAAAACAAAAUGUCAUCCAUAAAAUGAUAUACUAUAGACUGAGGAAAUUGCUUACAUAUUAUUUCCAACAGCUGCCGAACAAAAUAUUGGCACAGGGUGAGGCUAUUUAACAUUCCCUGUGGGAGAACCUUCCAUUGGUAUCUCUUAGCAG
Long non-coding RNA from Mesocricetus auratus (golden hamster), 452 nucleotides. RefSeq lists it as uncharacterized. The transcript has 3 exons. NCBI's taxonomy places the organism in Eukaryota, Metazoa, Chordata, Mammalia, Rodentia, Cricetidae. The record is from RefSeq and is a predicted model, not a curated record.